GACAGAGGGUGCAAACGUUGUUCGGAAUUACUGGGCGUAAAGCGCACGCAGGCGGUUCGCCAAGUUUGGAGUGACAGUUGUCGGCUCAACCGACAAAGGACUUCAAAAACUGGUGAACUUGAGGACGAGAGAGGAACAUGGAACUCCAGGUGUAGUAGUGAAAUGCGUAGAUAUCUGGAAGAACACCAAUGGCGAAGGCAAUGUUCUGGCUCGUUUCUGACGCUCAGGUGCGAAAGCCAGGGGAGCGAACGGG
RNAcentral lists this ribosomal RNA (253 nucleotides) under uncultured bacterium. RNAcentral's name for it is "partial 16S ribosomal RNA". It matches the Rfam family "Bacterial small subunit ribosomal RNA", at positions 524 to 776 of the family's 1533-position model. The record is from RNAcentral.